GAGGGUAUAGCUCAGUGGUAGAGUGCAUGCUUAGCAUGCACAGGGUCUUGGGUUUAAUCCCCAAUACCACUG
This 72-nucleotide transfer RNA is filed under the name Camelus bactrianus (Bactrian camel). It matches the Rfam family "tRNA". Rfam says of the family: Transfer RNA (tRNA) molecules are approximately 80 nucleotides in length. Their secondary structure includes four short double-helical elements and three loops (D, anti-codon, and T loops). The record is from Rfam by way of RNAcentral. Lineage: Eukaryota; Metazoa; Chordata; Mammalia; Artiodactyla; Camelidae. RNAcentral also lists the same sequence under 2 other names.